CCUACGGGGGGCAGCAGUGGGGAAUAUUGCACAAUGGGGGAAACCCUGAUGCAGCGACGCCGCGUGAGUGAAGAAGUAUUUCGGUACGUAAAGCUCUAUCAGCAGGGAAGAAAAUGACGGUACCUGACUAAGAAGCCCCGGCUAACUACGUGCCAGCAGCCGCGGUAAUACGUAGGGGGCAAGCGUUAUCCGGAUUUACUGGGUGUAAAGGGAGCGUAGACGGCAGGGCAAGUCUGGAGUGAAAUCCCAUGGCUUAACCAUGGAACUGCUUUGGAAACUGUGCAGCUAGAGUGCAGGUGAGGUAAGCGGAAUUCCUAGUGUAGCGGUGAAAUGCGUAGAUAUUAGGAGGAACACCAGUGGCGAAGGCGGCUUACUGGACUGUAACUGACGUUGAGGCUCGAAAGCGUGGGGAGCAAACAGGAUUAGAUACCCGGGUAGUC
This 440-nucleotide ribosomal RNA is filed under the name uncultured bacterium. RNAcentral describes it as "partial 16S ribosomal RNA". It matches the Rfam family "Bacterial small subunit ribosomal RNA", at positions 338 to 795 of the family's 1533-position model. The record is from RNAcentral.